RNAcentral lists this ribosomal RNA (460 nucleotides) under uncultured bacterium. Its description in RNAcentral is "partial 16S ribosomal RNA". It matches the Rfam family "Bacterial small subunit ribosomal RNA", at positions 338 to 795 of the family's 1533-position model. The record is from RNAcentral.
CCUACGGGAGGCAGCAGUGAGGAAUAUUGGUCAAUGGGCGCGAGCCUGAACCAGCCAAGUAGCGUGAAGGAUGACUGCCCUAUGGGUUGUAAACUUCUUUUGUAAAGGAAUAAAGUGAGGCACGUGUGCCUUUUUGUAUGUACUUUAUGAAUAAGGAUCGGCUAACUCCGUGCCAGCAGCCGCGGUAAUACGGAGGAUCCGAGCGUUAUCCGGAUUUAUUGGGUUUAAAGGGAGCGUAGAUGGGUUGUUAAGUCAGUCGUGAAAGUUUGCGGCUCAACCCUAAAAUUGCAAUUGAUACUGGGAGUCUUGAGUGCAGUUGAGGUAGGCGGAAUGCGUGGUGUAGCGGUGAAAUGCUUAGAUAUCACGAAGAACCCCGAUUGCGAAGGCAGCUUACUAAACUGCCACUGACAUUGAGGCUCGAAAGUGUGGGUAUCAAACAGGAUUAGAUACCCCAGUAGUC